UACGUAGGCAGCGAGCGUUGUUCGGAAUUACUGGGCGUAAAGCGCGUGUAGGCUGCUCUGCAAGUCGGAUGUGAAAGCCCUGGGCUCAACCUAGGAAGUGCACUCGAAACUGCAGAGCUUGAGUCUCGGAGAGGAUCGCGGAAUUCUCGGUGUAGAGGUGAAAUUCGUAGAUAUCGAGAGGAACACCGGUGGCGAAGGCGGCGAUCUGGACGAUGACUGACGCUGAGACGCGAAAGCGUGGGGAGCAAACAGG
This 253-nucleotide ribosomal RNA is filed under the name uncultured bacterium. RNAcentral describes it as "partial 16S ribosomal RNA". It matches the Rfam family "Bacterial small subunit ribosomal RNA", at positions 524 to 776 of the family's 1533-position model. The record is from RNAcentral.